This is a long non-coding RNA of Magnolia sinica, 360 nucleotides long. RefSeq lists it as uncharacterized. The transcript is spliced from 3 exons. The record is from RefSeq and is a predicted model, not a curated record. NCBI's taxonomy places the organism in Eukaryota, Viridiplantae, Streptophyta, Magnoliopsida, Magnoliales, Magnoliaceae.
CUUUUACUUUGGAUCUCCAGAUUAGAUGUUGCAGAACAGAAUGGGGUAAGUUAUAUCACGGUCCUUGCCUGGACCUGUCUUGACAAGGGAAAGCAGUGGGCAUUUCGAGGCUCAUAUUGAUAGGCAUCUCUUAAACCGGCCACCAGCUGUUGCAAAUGGCCCUGCAGACUGGAGUGAAGCUUUGAAUUUUAUUUCCUUGGGUUCUCCUGAGCAGUUAGUUGAAGGCAUGAAAGUUGUUUGUCAUGAGCUGACCACUACUGAUCCUGAGAGCAGUGCGAUGGAUGAUCUUGUCAAGGAUGCAGAUAGGCUAGUUGCAUGUCUUGCAAGCAAUGUAAAUAUAUAUAUAUAUUCUAUUCUCCU